This 1390-nucleotide ribosomal RNA is filed under the name uncultured bacterium. RNAcentral describes it as "16S ribosomal RNA". It matches the Rfam family "Bacterial small subunit ribosomal RNA". The record is from RNAcentral.
AGAGUUUGAUCCUGGCUCAGGAUGAACGCUAGCGACAGGCCUAACACAUGCAAGUCGAGGGGUAACAGGGGCUUCGGCCCGCUGACGACCGGCGCACGGGUGAGUAACGCGUAUGCAACCUACCUGUAACUGGGGGAUAGCUCCCUGAAAGGGGAAUUAACACCGCAUAAGACCACGCUAUCACAUGGUAAAGUGGUAAAAUAUUUAUAGGUUACAGAUGGGCAUGCGUGACAUUAGUUAGUUGGCGGGGUAACGGCCCACCAAGACUACGAUGUCUAGGGGUUCUGAGAGGAAGGUCCCCCACACUGGUACUGAGACACGGACCAGACUCCUACGGGAGGCAGCAGUGAGGAAUAUUGGUCAAUGGACGCAAGUCUGAACCAGCCAUGUCGCGUGCAGGAAGACGGCCCUAUGGGUUGUAAACUGCUUUUGUACGGGAAGAAAAUCAGCUACGUGUAGUUGUUUGCCGGUACCGUACGAAUAAGGAUCGGCUAACUCCGUGCCAGCAGCCGCGGUAAUACGGAGGAUCCGAGCGUUAUCCGGAAUUAUUGGGUUUAAAGGGUGCGUAGGCGGCCAUUUAAGUCAGCGGUGAAAUUUUGCAGCUUAACUGUAACAGUGCCGUUGAUACUGUUUGGCUAGGAUUUGGUUGUAGUGUGCGGAAUGUGUGGUGUAGCGGUGAAAUGCUUAGAUAUCACACAGAACACCGAUUGCGAAGGCAGCACACUAAGUCAUUAUUGACGCUGAGGCACGAAAGUGUGGGGAUCAAACAGGAUUAGAUACCCUGGUAGUCCACACUGUAAACGAUGAUAACUCGCUGUCGGCGAUACACAGUCGGUGGCCAAGCGAAAGCAUUAAGUUAUCCACCUGGGGAGUACGACCGCAAGGUUGAAACUCAAAGGAAUUGACGGGGGCCCGCACAAGCGGAGGAACAUGUGGUUUAAUUCGAUGAUACGCGAGGAACCUUACCCGGGCUCGAACGGUGCAUGAAUAUACGAGAGAUUGUAUAGUCCUUCGGGACAUGUAUCGAGGUGCUGCAUGGUUGUCGUCAGCUCGUGCCGUGAGGUGUCGGCUUAAGUGCCAUAACGAGCGCAACCCUUGUCAUUAGUUGCCAUCAGGUCAAGCUGGGGACUUUAAUGAGACUGCCACCGUAAGGUGUGAGGAAGGGGGGGAUGACGUCAAAUCAGCACGGCCCUUAUGUCCGGGGCGACACACGUGUUACAAUGGGAGGUACAGAGGGCAGCUAUCCGGUGACGGAAUGCUAAUCUCCAAAACCUUUCUCAGUUCGGAUUGGAGUCUGCAACUCGACUCCAUGAAGCUGGAUUCGCUAGUAAUCGCGCAUCAGCCACGGCGCGGUGAAUACGUUCCCGGGCCUUGUACACACCGCCCGUCA